RNAcentral lists this ribosomal RNA (490 nucleotides) under uncultured Bacillota bacterium. RNAcentral describes it as "bacterial SSU rRNA". It matches the Rfam family "Bacterial small subunit ribosomal RNA", at positions 355 to 861 of the family's 1533-position model. The record is from RNAcentral. Lineage: Bacteria; Bacillati; Bacillota.
UAGGGAAUUUUCCGCAAUGGGCGAAAGCCUGACGGAGCAACGCCGCGUGAGGGAUGAAGGUUUUCGGAUCGUAAACCUCUGUCUUCAGGGACGAUAAUGACGGUACCUGAGGAGGAAGCCACGGCUAACUACGUGCCAGCAGCCGCGGUAAUACGUAGGUGGCAAGCGUUGUCCGGAAUUAUUGGGCGUAAAGGGCGUGUAGGCGGCUUUUUAAGUCAGGCGUGAAAUUUCUGGGCUUAACCCAGAAACUGCGUUUGAAACUGGAUGGCUUGAGGACCGGAGAGGGUAGUGGAAUUCCCAGUGUAGCGGUGAAAUGCGUAGAUAUUGGGAGGAACACCAGUGGCGAAGGCGACUGCCUGGACGGCACCUGACGCUGAGGCGCGAAAGCUAGGGGAGCAAACGGGAUUAGAUACCCCGGUAGUCCUAGCUGUAAACGAUGGGUACUAGGCGUGGGAGGUAUCGACCCCUUCCGUGCCGCAGUUAACACAAU